GCUAAGUCAGACACCAUACAUAGGAGGGGGGAAAAUACUUCACAAGAGCCAUGUAAAGUGUCCAGUAGACAGACACCACUUUGUUCUUUGCUCAGAAGGCAGGAACUUGCUGAAAACUCUUCUCCUAAAAGAAGACUAUAAAGAAACCGAGAAGAAUUGUUUAGUAAAAAAUCAGUAAUUUAAAACAAAAUAAACACAAAAAAGGAGAGAUGUAUACUCAAGAGCCGCCAUACACACAAUUGGAGCAGUCAAGACACAAAGGAGGAAGUCAGAAAACAGAAGUUUGACUCUCCUCUCAGCUCCGAGGACCACCCCUACUCUUACCUGGAGGUUCCAGCCAUCUUUUAUGAGUCUACCUCUUCCAGCCCACAGCAGGGGUGACCAGAGCCGGGCAGCUCCUGGGGCAGCCUCAGCCCUCCAGGACAGUGACUUCCAUCAGGCCAUGUCCCUGAUGCCCUUGCUGGAGAUGAACUACCAAGGUUUCGAUCAAGUAGGAUAGGAUAUUGAUUUUCAUCUUGCCUCUACCGGAAAUAAAACCUCAAGUUUUUGAACAGAAAAAAUCAGGUGAAGUACACACGAUGGAAACUGACAUUGGUGACUGUAAAAUCAGCACCAUUUCUGAAAGGUGACUUUCUCCAAAUCCUGGAUAUCAUGGGAGAACAGGGGCAAGAAUAAGAGGGAAUGUAUUACAGGCACAGAUGUGUUGGAUCUGAAACCAGAAGGUCUAGAACCUGGAGCAUCAUGGAACCAUCAUCAUCAUCAUCAUCAUCAAAUCAGGAUUAAGGAGUGAUACCCAAAUUCUGCUUAGAGUAUGUGAAGCUCAUGAUAGAAAGAGAUAUACAAGAUAUACUUUGAUAGAGUUGAUUUCUGGUCCACAAUUUGGUGGUCAAUAGUGACACCCAUUCAAGUUUUAUGCUAAACCAUCUAUUUGAAGAUAAGUAGAAAAGUAGAAUUUGAAACUCAAACUACUUAACUUUUAAAAAAGAGGCUGAAAAAUGCAAUAAGUUGUCACAGUCAAGAUCAGUAAUAGUCUCUUCCAACUUGUUUUCAGGCCUUCUUAUGAUGUAUGAAACAAAUAU
Ailuropoda melanoleuca (giant panda) is the source of this 1079-nucleotide long non-coding RNA. RefSeq lists it as uncharacterized. Lineage: Eukaryota; Metazoa; Chordata; Mammalia; Carnivora; Ursidae. The record is from RefSeq and is a predicted model, not a curated record. The transcript is spliced from 3 exons.